This 259-nucleotide ribosomal RNA is filed under the name uncultured bacterium. RNAcentral describes it as "partial 16S ribosomal RNA". It matches the Rfam family "Bacterial small subunit ribosomal RNA", at positions 30 to 285 of the family's 1533-position model. The record is from RNAcentral.
AUUGAACGCUGGCGGCAGGCCUAACACAUGCAAGUCGAGCGGUAACAGGGGAAGCUUGCUUCCCGCUGACGAGCGGCGGACGGGUGAGUAAUGUAUGGGGAUCUGCCCGAUAGAGGGGGAUAACCACUGGAAACGGUGGCUAAUACCGCAUAAUCUCUUAGGAGCAAAGCAGGGGAACUUCGGUCCUUGCGCUAUCGGAUGAACCCAUAUGGGAUUAGCUAGUAGGUGGGGUAAUGGCUCACCUAGGCGACGAUCCCUA